AACCGGGCACACAUAGAACCCGCCACUCUCAUCCACCGCAUCGUACACAAUCCCAGCCUUCUUCACAUUCUUCUUCUCAAUCUCCACCAACCCAUCCUGCGCCAACAGAUACUCAAACACCAACCCGCAAAUAUAAAUCCCCAAGCAAUUCGGUGUAUUGUACAACGAAUCCGCAUCAGCAUGAAUCUUGUAAUCCAACAUGUCCGGAGUAAUCGGCUGCGCAUUGCCCAACAGAUCUUUCCUCACAAUCACAAUUGUAACCCCUG
Molecule: unclassified non-coding RNA, 266 nt
Filed under: Hevea brasiliensis (rubber tree)
Lineage: Eukaryota; Viridiplantae; Streptophyta; Magnoliopsida; Malpighiales; Euphorbiaceae
Source: RNAcentral